RNAcentral lists this ribosomal RNA (498 nucleotides) under uncultured bacterium. RNAcentral describes it as "bacterial SSU rRNA". It matches the Rfam family "Bacterial small subunit ribosomal RNA", at positions 29 to 524 of the family's 1533-position model. The record is from RNAcentral.
AUUGAACGCUGGCGGCAUGCCUUACACAUGCAAGUCGAACGGUAACGCGGGGCAACCUGGCGACGAGUGGCGAACGGGCGAGUAAUAUAUCGGAACGUGCCCAAUAGUGGGGGAUAGCCCGGCGAAAGCCGGAUUAAUACCGCAUACGACCUGAGGGUGAAAGCGGGGGAUCGCAAGACCUCGCGCUAUUGGAGCGGCCGAUAUCAGAUUAGGUAGUUGGUGGGGUAAAGGCCUACCAAGCCUACGAUCUGUAGCUGGUCUGAGAGGACGACCAGCCACACUGGGACUGAGACACGGCCCAGACUCCUACGGGAGGCAGCAGUGGGGAAUUUUGGACAAUGGGCGCAAGCCUGAUCCAGCCAUGCCGCGUGCGGGAAGAAGGCCUUCGAGUUGUAAACCGCUUUGUCAGGGAAGAAAUCUUCUGGGUUAAUACCUCGGGAGGAUGACGGUACCUGAAGAAUAAGCACCGGCUAACUACGUGCCAGCAGCCGCGGUAAU